Long non-coding RNA from Equus caballus (horse), 5499 nucleotides. The record is from Ensembl. NCBI's taxonomy places the organism in Eukaryota, Metazoa, Chordata, Mammalia, Perissodactyla, Equidae.
GUUGGUUAAGAUUGAAAUGAAUCUAAUUAAGUAAAUGGGUUUCAAUAUGAAAAAAAAAAGAGUAAACUGGUACAAAAAUUAGAAUUUGGCUUUCUCUCUCAAAAGGAUACUUUUCUUAAACUCUUAGUCUGCUCUUGAUAAAGAGAUUAUAAAAGGUUUAGAGGAUCUAUGUUUGGUUAAGAUAAUCUCUCUAUGCAAAAGACAGAGGUCUAUUAAGGUUUUUUUGCUAUUGUCACUUUGGUUAAAUAUUAUGAAGCAUUGUUUCAUUGACCCUUGUUUUACAAUGACAAAAUCAGCGUUUUAAAACCUUUUGAUAUUUUUGACAAGCUUCUCCCUCAAAAAUAUUCAAGUCCUGAAUAAAUGCUUUCUUUUGACCUGGAUGAAGGAAGAGGAUUUCUCUGGGGAUUUUCAGAGGGCCACUGGGACUUCACAGAGAAAUUUGCUCUCUUCCUAUAAGGUGGAAAAUUCUAAACUAAUUAGGCUUAUUGGUCUGUUAAAUUACAUUGGAAGCAUUGUCAUAUAAGUGAUGAUAAUCUUUCUUAAGUGGUAUUAUGUGGGUAAAUGUUACUGAUAUAAAUGUUCUGAAAUUAUAUAACACUCCUAAAAUUCUGAUCUGUCCUGGCUAUCAGUCAUAAUUCUGCUUAUUUUAAGCUGUUGUCUAUCACAGGAAUAAUAAGUUUCUCUGUCAAUUGUCAUUUUUAAGUCUUUGUUGUUUACAGUCAGUUGUUUUACUCUGAUGCUUUUUGCUUUUGCAAAUAUGUCUCAUCUUCAGAGGGAUUCAUGGAAAGGACUCUGACACUUACUCUGGAACACAGUUUUCUGAUAAACUUUCAGAUCAUAGAACUGAACUCUGGGUAAGGAAUUACAGAAAUCUAAUGGAGAAACUGAUGACCACAUAAAACUGCUAACAGAAGAUUAAGAUCAAGAACCGGUUAUACAGGACUGAAUGAACUGAGGAUGAUAAUUUUUAUGACUUUUAUUUGAAAUAUUGUUGAUUUUUUUGAUGUUUUGCUUUGUUUUUUCAGAUUCAAGAAAAUCUUUUUCUCUUUUCUCUUGUGCUAACUAUGACUUAGCAAUUUGGUGAAGUUAUACCUUUGUGAGCAAAACUGAAACAUUUAUCUUUUUCUCCCUACCUGAUCCCUUGAGAAUAUGGAAACUCUUUGUGAGUAUGGUUAUUUCAUGGCAAUAUAAUUAUUUGCAUAAGUUCAAUAAGAAUCUGUUCUCCUUAUAACAGGACACAUUGGUUGUAUUACCAAGGCUUUGACUGGAAUGUCAUAUUUGAGAGAAACAUACAGACUCGGAUAUGACAAUACUGCCUUUGAGGAAUAAGGUUGACUUUGUGAAAAUAAGCCACUUGUAAAUAUGGGCCUGGUACCUUGCUUUACAGAGAGAGAUUCCAGCAGUCUUACCUGGUAAGUAAGGAAGCUUGCUUAUCUGGCAGGUGCAAGGAACCUCAGAGUAUUUUGGAGGACCUCGAGAAGAGAGGAGUCCACCCAAAUCUGUAGGUACUGCAGGCAAAAUCUGACAGCAAGUCCUUGGCUUGGCUUUCCUGGCCUCGAGAGGUCUUUAAAGUUCAAUCUGAGAUUCCUCAUAAAAAAUUCCAGCAAAGCAGAUUUAAGAGCCUAUAUGAUCAACUGCUAUUCUUGCUGCACUUAUGUAAAUAAUUGGGCCAAUUUUCUUGAAACUAAACUUAUUUUGCAAACCAAUUAGUCUUAAUUUGGCUGUCUUUGGUAAAAAUGAGGGUGAUUUUAGAGAGAAGAACUAUGUUUCAGUGAAAAACUAUAAGACCCAUUUGUGGAUGUUAGAUCCUAGUUUUGUUAAUUGUCUUUGGGUUUUUUUUUCUACUUGUGAACUUGACUGGAUCCUGAAUUCUUCUGCUGAAAUAUCUGGUUACAAAUCUCCAAACUAAUGUUUUCAAUUUUUUUACCUCAUUUUCAUUUGGAAUCAUUGAGAAUUGAACCUUCUCUUUUUCCUGAAGCCUUGCUAACUAAAGCUGAACAACUUGAUAGAAACUUAAGAGAGAUUCCUGUCUGUUGCUGUGUAAGCUGUAAGCCACUCAGAAAGAUACCUGAAUGCCUGAUGACAUCAUCAGAGACUUUCAAGCUGCUAAAGAUGCUUCACUCUGACACCUAGAAGUCUUCUUGACUGGCUGCCUCCUGGACUCAGGAACUAGUUUAUAAUUUGCUCCAACCAUUAACCUUGGUUUUCUUUUUAUGUCCAUAGAAAUACUUAUUAAAUACCUGAUUGCUUGCUUCCAAAAUAUAGGCCUAACUUUGGGAGCCCACCUGCAUCGCCGCCUUCUAAAAUGACUUUAUUUAUUUAUUUUUUUUUUUUAAAGAUUUUAUUUUUUUCCUUUUUCUCCCUAAAGCCCCCCCGGUACAUAGUUGUAUAUUCUUCAUUGUGGGUCCUUCUAGUUGUGGCAUGUGGGACGCUGCCUCAGCGUGGUUUGAUGAGCAGUGCCUUGUCCGCGCCCAGGACUCGAACCAACGAAACACUGGGCCGCCUGCAGCGGAGCGCGCGAACUUAACCACUCGGCCACGGGGCCAGCCCCUAAAAUGACUUUAACUGGACUGAUCUAUUAACAGGACUAAGAAAUGUGUUCAGUGAGAUGAAACAAUCUACCACUCAGCUUCUGGACUGUGAAACUUUAAAAAGUUUCAAAGGCAAGGACUUAAAAUCUGCAUUUUAUUGUGCUAGUCUGGUAACCUCCUGUAACUGACUUCCCUCCCCCUCCCAACGUUGGCAUCUCCUUAAAGAUUAAGCAUCUUUCUUUAGGCUGGGAACCGAUUGCAGCGCUCAUCUGUGACCCCCCACCCAGCCCGAGGCAACACACCUGCCACCCUGCGGCGCUCACUGAGACAGCAGACCUAUCUGCCGUUUCCAUCAAGCGCUGUGCUGGCAGAGCAGCCUCGUGACUAUUGUAAAAGGGACUUUUCAAUCACAUGUGAAACACCCCGUUUGGGGGCUAUAUAACCACUCUGUGCACUCCACUUCUUUGGUGCCCUUUCUUCCUUCGGGAAGAAAGGCCCCGGGCCAUGGUUCCUCAUUAAAGCUUUGUUUAAUUUUCUCUUGCUAUUCUGUCUCAUGUGAAUUUAAUUCGUUCUCCAGCCAGACGAACCCCCAUUUGGGGAGAGGAAAUGUUCUCCUCCCCUACAUAUCCAAAGCAAAUGUUACAAAACUUCUGCAUGACUUUCACCAGAACAAAAUUUUUGUUAAUUUCAAGUCUUAUACCCUACAAUUAUAUAAUGACAUAGAAAGAUAACUUGUUGGAGUCAGAACAACAGGCUAAAAGCACUUCGGUGUAGAGUCUGUGUGACUAGAGCAAAUCAUUCACCAUCUCUGAAUGUUUGUUUCCUCAUCUAUAAAAAGAGUGAUUGUGAAGACAAAAAGGUCUGUACAGAGUUUUGAAAACUUUAAACCACCAUGUAAUUAGCAGUUACUAUUUUUUAUUUUUUACAUUUAUAAAAUACUUUCUGAGUUUACUUUGUCUGUAUUACUCCAAAGAUCCCUAAAGCAGCAGGCAGCUUUACCCAGGGGGCAUGAAUCGGAAAGUAGAUGACUGUUUUCAGUGAGAAAAGCAGGAUUUGUUCCUGAGUCUCAUCAAGAAGAGCACUCUCUUCCAACUAGAAAAGUAAAAACCUUACUUAUAAUUUAAGAAGCAAAAAUGCCAGGAGAUUCCUGAGGCUCCUACAUUGACUUUGGAAGCAUUGUCAAGAGCUGGUUGCAUAUUAGAGGCUAUGAAUAACAGGACAUUAUGAUUUAGAUUUAAGAAGAAGCGGUAUUGGCAAUUGUGCCAACUUUUUUUCACUGUCUUAGGAGAAGCAAUUGUAGCAAACUGCCCAGACAAGCUCUGGGGUCAACGUGAGGACGAGGUCAUUAAAUGCAGUCAAUAUGACCUAGACUGUUGACCUUUCCACAUCUAAAUAUUCUCAACAGUUUUUCAAACUUCAACAAUGACAAUUAACAGCCCAGCAACUUAAGUUUGACAAUUUACUGCUGCAUUUGCCAGUUGUGCUUUGGAUUUGACACUAUUAACAUAGCAAAAGCUAUCUGCAUAAGAAAGAUCUUCCAGUUAAGACAAAAUUACAGAUUUCAGAACAAGAGGGCAUUAAAACAUAGGUGGAAAUUAUUUGGCUCAUUGGAGGUUCUGAUAGAAUUGUUGAAACUGAAAUGCAGAUAAUGGGGAAUCAAAUCAAGGAAAUGAAGUCAUCCAGUGUAUAAAUGGACAUACAGUAAAUAAGUACAUGUAAAAUUCAGGAUGGCAUUUCUCUAGGCAAAGUUUUCAAAGCAGUUGGCCUCUCUUGCAAUGUAUGUUUUUUGCAGUCAAUUAAAAAAUAAAUGAAUACAAUCUCAAAAGUUAAAUUAAUACAAUAGAAUAGUGAUUACAGCCUUAAUGCCACUCUGGAGUCAGUCCACCUAGGAUCCAAUCUUGGCUUUGUCACUUACAAUUGUGUGACUUUGGGUAAAUUUUAUCACCUAUGACUCUACGUUCUCAUCUGUAAAACCUAUUUGAUUGGAUUUUUUUUUUUUUAGUUAACAGAGGUUAUAAGAGAAAAUUGGUACAUAAUAAGUGCUAUUUAACUGUUUGAUAUUAUUAAUCUAAUGUCCUGAAACAUAAAUGAUUAAUUAGAGCAUCUAAAUAAAGAAUUCAAACAUCAUGUAGAGUCUUUUCCCUUAACUGCUGAGAAGUUGAUGUCCACUUACCUUAAGACAUUUACCUUCAAAAACUGGAAUCUGAUAUUAUCUGUAAAUGUUGAGAUGUAGCUUAGAAAUAUACCACUAAUUCCCAAAGGUUUACAAAUCUCUCAAGAUUUGGCUCUGUGUGCAUUAGAUAGUUAAUGAAAAAAAUAAUUAGAGCUCUGAAUGAUCUCAAAAAGAUCUCAUCACCCAAGAGAUUAGUCUCUGUUUGUAAAAAAAUGUAUUUUGUCCUCUAUAACACCUUAGAAUUUACAAAGUUUUUUGCCAAAUGGUAUUCUUACCAGCAAGAUUUUUUGUCUGAAUCUUUGUUCUAGGUACUCAAACAGUCCCAAAGAGAUUUGCUGUCUGGGGAAGCUUCUGUAUUUUUUCUAUUUAAUAGUCCAUCUGUUUUCUGUCAUGAAGUCAAUAAGGGAACUUGGAGACUCAAAUACAGUUGUUUCUGACACAGAUCUAAUUAAAAUAGUCUUUCAUAUAAUGAAUGCCUUCAAUUUUCUUAAUUGCUUUAGAUCACCUGUUCAAAUCACAGCUUCCUACUUUGUGAUGUAAUGCCAGAUUAUUUAAAUACUUCUGUAGCAUAACGAUGAGAGUAAAUUUCUGACCUUUGCAAACAUGUGAGAUUGCGCUAUUAAUAUUCCUUUCUCAUACUAUCCUCGUCUGGUUGAGAUAUCACUGUUAUUGUGACGAUUCAAGAGAGCUAGCCCUCUAUUUCUGCUCCACAAAAAUGUUCACAUAAGUUGGAGGGCAUUUAUUUUUGUAGUUCUAUUCGAAUUUACAUGUAAAAGCAUUUCAGCAUUUUGAGGA